RNAcentral lists this ribosomal RNA (472 nucleotides) under uncultured bacterium. RNAcentral's name for it is "bacterial SSU rRNA". It matches the Rfam family "Bacterial small subunit ribosomal RNA", at positions 364 to 832 of the family's 1533-position model. The record is from RNAcentral.
UUCGCAAUGCCCGAAAGGGUGAACGAGCGACGCCACGUGCGGGAUGAAGGGCUUCGGCUUGUAAACCGCUUUUCUUUGGGAAGAAGGUUCAGAUCGUGAAUCUGGGCUCGACGGUACCAGAGGAAUAAGCCCCGGCUAACUCCGUGCCAGCAGCCGCGGUAAGACGGAGGGGGCAAGCGUUGUUCGGAAUUAUUGGGCGUAAAGGGCGCGUAGGCGGAUCGGCGGGUCCGGCGUGAAAUCUCCACCGCUUAACGGGGAGAAGCCGCUGGAAACUACCGAUCUGGAGUUCGGCAGAGGACCAUGGAAUUCCAGGUGUAGCGGUGGAAUGCGUAGAUAUCUGGAAGAACACCGGUGGCGAAGGCGGUGGUCUGGGCCGAAACUGACGCUGAGGCGCGAAAGCCAGGGGAGCGAACGGGAUUAGAUACCCCGGUAGUCCUGGCCCUAAACGAUGGGCACUAAGUAGAGGGGUUUU